CAAAUCAGGUAGGAUUACCCGCUGAACUUAAGCAUAUCAAUAAGCGGAGGAAAAGAAACUAACAAGGAUUCCCCUAGUAACUGCGAGUGAAGCGGGAAAAGCUCAAAUUUAAAAUCUGGCGGUCUUUGGCCGUCCGAGUUGUAGUCUGGAGAAGUGCUUUCCGCGCUGGACCGUGUACAAGUCUCUUGGAACAGAGCGUCAUAGAGGGUGAGAAUCCCGUCUUUGACACGGACUACCAGUGCUUUGUGAUGUGCUCUCAAAGAGUCGAGUUGUUUGGGAAUGCAGCUCAAAAUGGGUGGUAAAUUCCAUCUAAAGCUAAAUAUUGGCGAGAGACCGAUAGCGAACAAGUACCGUGAGGGAAAGAUGAAAAGCACUUUGGAAAGAGAGUUAAACAGUACGUGAAAUUGCUGAAAGGGAAACGCUUGAAGUCAGUCGCGUUGGCCAGGACUCAGCCUUGCUUUUGCUUGGUGCAUUUUCUGGUUGACGGGCCAGCAUCGAUUUUGACCGCUGGAAAAAGGUUAGGGGAAUGUGGCACCUUCGGGUGUGUUAUAGCCCUUAGUCACAUACAGUGGUUGGGAUCGAGGACCGCAGCACGCCUUUAUGGCCGGGGUUCGCCCACGUUCGUGCUUAGGAUGCUGGCGUAAUGGCUUUAAACGACCCGUCUUGAAACACGGACCAAGGAGUCUAACAUGCCUGCGAGUGUUUGGGUGGAAAACCCGAGCGCGUAAUGAAAGUGAAAGUUGAGAUCCCUGUCGUGGGGAGCAUCGACGCCCGGACCUGAACUUCGGUGAUGGAUCUGCGGUAGAGCAUGUAUGUUGGGACCCGAAAGAUGGUGAACUAUGCCUGAAUAGGGUGAAGCCAGAGGAAACUCUGGUGGAGGCUCGUAGCGAUUCUGACGUGCAAAUCGAUCGUCAAAUUUGGGUAUAGGGGCGAAAGACUAAUCGAACCAUCUAGUAGCUGGUUCCUGCCGAA
This 972-nucleotide ribosomal RNA is filed under the name Fomitopsis schrenkii. RNAcentral's name for it is "partial large subunit ribosomal RNA". It matches the Rfam family "Eukaryotic large subunit ribosomal RNA", at positions 1 to 965 of the family's 3401-position model. Lineage: Eukaryota; Fungi; Basidiomycota; Agaricomycetes; Polyporales; Fomitopsidaceae. The record is from RNAcentral.